This 71-nucleotide transfer RNA is filed under the name Eutreptiella gymnastica. It matches the Rfam family "tRNA", at positions 10 to 69 of the family's 71-position model. Rfam says of the family: Transfer RNA (tRNA) molecules are approximately 80 nucleotides in length. Their secondary structure includes four short double-helical elements and three loops (D, anti-codon, and T loops). Further hydrogen bonds mediate the characteristic L-shaped molecular structure. tRNAs have two regions of fundamental functional importance: the anti-codon, which is responsible for specific mRNA codon recognition, and the 3' end, to which the tRNAs corresponding amino acid is attached (by aminoacyl-tRNA synthetases). tRNAs cope with the degeneracy of the genetic code in two manners: having more than one tRNA (with a specific anti-codon) for a particular amino acid; and 'wobble' base-pairing, i.e. permitting non-standard base-pairing at the 3rd anti-codon position. Lineage: Eukaryota; Euglenozoa; Euglenophyceae; Eutreptiales; Eutreptiaceae. The record is from RNAcentral.
CCCAAGUGGUUACGGGGUUUAACUCGAAAUCAAAUGUGACCUUCACGCGCAGGUUCGAAUCCUGCUGACUG